Non-coding RNA from Aegilops tauschii subsp. strangulata, 1886 nucleotides. Lineage: Eukaryota; Viridiplantae; Streptophyta; Magnoliopsida; Poales; Poaceae. The record is from RefSeq and is a predicted model, not a curated record.
UCAUGAACAAGGAAAUAUAAUAAUAACCAUUUUAUUAUUGCCUCUAGGGCAUAUUUCCAACAGCGGGGACGGGAAAAAUUAUGAUAUACGCCGCUAUACUCACCUGACUGAUGGGCCCUGGCUUGCACGGCGUGAACAGAGCGAGCCCGAGCCGUGGCUGGAGACGUCGCCGGCGUCCUGAUCCGUGGAUCAGGUCCGGUGCUUUUCGGUAGCGUCGGCAGUCCACGCAGUAAAUGCAGAAAGUGGGCCGCUGGGGGGGAGGCUGUGAAGUGGAUCUUGCAUUUUUCCCAGGCGGCGAAGUAGUGGGGAAAUCUCCUGCGGCAAAAGGGGAUUGCGCGCGGUCCAGCGAGUUCGCAGGUGCUCCGACGGCCAUGGAGUCUUGAUGCAGCCGAUAAACAGGUUCGAAUCUGCUCGCUGAACCUCCCUUUUGCAUGGUUUGGAUCCGGUUUUCUGCGCUGACUCUGAUUCUGUCAGCCGCAAAAAUUGUGUGGGUGAACUAGAACACUGCUAGAGGAGGUUAACGAUAACAUCAUCACCAUGGUGCCUGUACGAUUCCGGUCAUUGCGCCGACGGAGGUUGACCUGCCAGCACCGGCGGCUUCAAGUGCAGACGGCCAAAUCUAUCGUGACGGCGCCACUGCAGAGCCUGCAAGUGCAUAUAAGGCUCAAGGUUCAGACCACUCCAUAGAGCAAGUGGAUGCAAAAACUCUGGGGUGGACACAAAGGUAUGAAGAUUGCAACUGAAGGAAUGUUCAUUGUGCGUUUAAAAAAUCAGGGGUGUCCUAGCUAUCAAAUAAAACAGAAUUCGCUAGGUUCAUUUCAGAUGGUUAACUUAUUUGUAUGCAAAGAGCGAUUAGUGCAUAUCUAGUAAUAGUGAUUGACGGGGGGAGAAUGUUGUGGUGCAAGUUAAUUUUGUGAGAAAAAUAAACAGUACACUGCAGAGAAGAAAUAGAUUUCCCUAAUCUGCGAUGCAAACAUGAUGCAUUCUCAGUCUAGCCACAGUAGUUCACACAAUGGUUGAAACUGAAAGAAUAGCUGAUUGAUUCUUUGCAUAUAAUUUGCAAUGACUUACAUAGUGCAUGUCGGUGCUGCCGCUCUAGGCAGAGCUCCUUGCCCGAACAGGGUUACAGCCCUGGAGAAGUCCGUCCGGCAAUUUGCAGGGGAACCAGAAGACAUUGUCAUUGUGCCAAAGAUAUGAACAAGUUUCGACACACUUGGCUAAAUGUGAACCGGACGAAGUGCAUGCAAGAGAUAGUCUGUGGAUGUGCGGUACGACAAAAAUUAGAGCGUUUUAAAAGUGAUUAGUAGUUAGCUAUGAGAAUUUUUUUCCAUGAACUUAACUGAAUAUGCCUUAUUGUGUAUGUGGUCAGGGGAAGCCAAUAGUUGAAAAUACUCGUUCUUGCCGCUGUGAAUGCGCUGCUCUCAUAAGAUUUUUGCUAUCGGCAAGGACCGUGUCAAGUGCAGACGCUCAGAUCUAUGCGGUGGAAGCCGCUCCAGAGGCCGCGAGUGGAGACAGGGGCGAAGCAUCCGAGCACUCCAUAGAGCAGAUUGACCUGAAGGCUCCUGGGGUGGACGCGAAGGUAUUGGGGCUGAAAGAAAAUUCUUUAGUGAUUAGGCACUGGGCUGGCCCUUGGAUUUAAGCAAAACUGUACUUAUAUAGCACUGUACUAAUUAGGAUCCAUUACCUAAAUUGUCAAUGAUUUACAAGCAAAAAAUCCGUCGAAAAUGAGCUUUGGGCAGGAAAAAAUAAGGCAGAAUAUUACUAUCUAUGCUAGAUUACUGAAUUUAAUAGGUUGGGUUUCCCUGGUAGAGAUUAUUCUCACUUGUCAUGUUAUGAUGAUGUAUAACUUAAAAAAUUAGUUUGGAAAUUAUCAUAUCUUCUCUGAA